This 496-nucleotide ribosomal RNA is filed under the name uncultured bacterium. RNAcentral describes it as "partial 16S ribosomal RNA". It matches the Rfam family "Bacterial small subunit ribosomal RNA", at positions 28 to 506 of the family's 1533-position model. The record is from RNAcentral.
GAUGAACGCUGGCGGCGUGCCUAAUACAUGCAAGUCGAGCGAACAGACGAGGAGCUUGCUCCUCUGACGUUAGCGGCGGACGGGUGAGUAACACGUGGAUAACCUACCUAUAAGACUGGGAUAACUUCGGGAAACCGGAGCUAAUACCGGAUAAUAUAUUGAACCGCAUGGUUCAAUAGUGAAAGACGGUUUUGCUGUCACUUAUAGAUGGAUCCGCGCCGCAUUAGCUAGUUGGUAAGGUAACGGCUUACCAAGGCAACGAUGCGUAGCCGACCUGAGAGGGUGAUCGGCCACACUGGAACUGAGACACGGUCCAGACUCCUAAGGGAGGCAGCAGUAGGGAAUCUUCCGCAAUGGGCGAAAGCCUGACGGAGCAACGCCGCGUGAGUGAUGAAGGUCUUCGGAUCGUAAAACUCUGUUAUUAGGGAAGAACAAAUGUGUAAGUAACUAUGCACGUCUUGACGGUACCUAAUCAGAAAGCCACGGCUAACUACGG